GGUUAAGCGACUAAGCGUACACGGUGGAUGCCCUGGCAGUCAGAGGCGAUGAAGGACGUGCUAAUCUGCGAUAAGCGUCGGUGAGGUGAUAUGAACCGUUAUAACCGGCGAUUUCCGAAUGGGGAAACCCAGUGUGUUUCGACACACUAUCAUUAACUGAAUCCAUAGGUUAAUGAGGCGAACCGGGGGAACUGAAACAUCUAAGUACCCCGAGGAAAAGAAAUCAACCGAGAUUCCCCCAGUAGCGGCGAGCGAACGGGGAGGAGCCCAGAGCCUGAAUCAGUGUGUGUGUUAGUGGAAGCGUCUGGAAAGGCGCGCGAUACAGGGUGACAGCCCCGUACACAAAAAUGCACAUAUUGUGAGCUCGAUGAGUAGGGCGGGACACGUGGUAUCCUGUCUGAAUAUGGGGGGACCAUCCUCCAAGGCUAAAUACUCCUGACUGACCGAUAGUGAACCAGUACCGUGAGGGAAAGGCGAAAAGAACCCCGGCGAGGGGAGUGAAAAAGAACCUGAAACCGUGUACGUACAAGCAGUGGGAGCCUCUUAAUGGGGUGACUGCGUACCUUUUGUAUAAUGGGUCAGCGACUUAUAUUCUGUAGCAAGGUUAACCGAAUAGGGGAGCCGAAGGGAAACCGAGUCUUAACUGGGCGUUAAGUUGCAGGGUAUAGACCCGAAACCCGGUGAUCUAGCCAUGGGCAGGUUGAAGGUUGGGUAACACUAACUGGAGGACCGAACCGACUAAUGUUGAAAAAUUAGCGGAUGACUUGUGGCUGGGGGUGAAAGGCCAAUCAAACCGGGAGAUAGCUGGUUCUCCCCGAAAGCUAUUUAGGUAGCGCCUCGUGAAUUCAUCUCCGGGGGUAGAGCACUGUUUCGGCAAGGGGGUCAUCCCGACUUACCAACCCGAUGCAAACUGCGAAUACCGGAGAAUGUUAUCACGGGAGACACACGGCGGGUGCUAACGUCCGUCGUGAAGAGGGAAACAACCCAGACCGCCAGCUAAGGUCCCAAAGUCAUGGUUAAGUGGGAAACGAUGUGGGAAGGCCCAGACAGCCAGGAUGUUGGCUUAGAAGCAGCCAUCAUUUAAAGAAAGCGUAAUAGCUCACUGGUCGAGUCGGCCUGCGCGGAAGAUGUAACGGGGCUAAACCAUGCACCGAAGCUGCGGCAGCGACACUAUGUGUUGUUGGGUAGGGGAGCGUUCUGUAAGCCUGUGAAGGUGGCCUGUGAGGGUUGCUGGAGGUAUCAGAAGUGCGAAUGCUGACAUAAGUAACGAUAAAGCGGGUGAAAAGCCCGCUCGCCGGAAGACCAAGGGUUCCUGUCCAACGUUAAUCGGGGCAGGGUGAGUCGACCCCUAAGGCGAGGCCGAAAGGCGUAGUCGAUGGGAAACAGGUUAAUAUUCCUGUACUUGGUGUUACUGCGAAGGGGGGACGGAGAAGGCUAUGUUGGCCGGGCGACGGUUGUCCCGGUUUAAGCGUGUAGGCUGGUUUUCCAGGCAAAUCCGGAAAAUCAAGGCUGAGGCGUGAUGACGAGGCACUACGGUGCUGAAGCGACAAAUGCCCUGCUUCCAGGAAAAGCCUCUAAGCAUCAGGUAACAUCAAAUCGUACCCCAAACCGACACAGGUGGUCAGGUAGAGAAUACCAAGGCGCUUGAGAGAACUCGGGUGAAGGAACUAGGCAAAAUGGUGCCGU
RNAcentral lists this ribosomal RNA (1686 nucleotides) under Escherichia coli. RNAcentral's name for it is "partial 23S ribosomal RNA". It matches the Rfam family "Bacterial large subunit ribosomal RNA", at positions 1 to 1731 of the family's 2925-position model. Lineage: Bacteria; Pseudomonadati; Pseudomonadota; Gammaproteobacteria; Enterobacterales; Enterobacteriaceae. The record is from RNAcentral.